CCCCUGGACACUCUCCCGCGCGCUCUCUCUCUCUCUCUCUCUCUCCUCGCGCGUGCUGUUCCUUCUUAUCUCGCUUUCCCUCAACGUCUGCUCCCGUUCGAAACGCCUCCGGCCUUCUCGAACGCUCUCCUCCGUCUCUCGGGCGCCGGCGGCGCGCCCGUCGUCCCUCUCCGGACGCGCCGUCGCCGCCGUCGACCUUCGGAUGUCGGACGGCCUUUCCGAGUUCGUUUUCGGCGCGGCCCCGUCGGAGGAGCUCGGAUGCGCGGCUCGAAGGUGCGCGUUUCUCCGCGCGCGUCUCCCUGGAUUACGAACGGCUCUGUGUUGAACAACGGCAGCUUUUUGUUGUCGAUGAAUGGACGAUCGCUUGUUUUCGAGCCGGCGUGUCGAUCUUAUCUUGCUCUCCGGCGCUCUCCCGCGGAUGAGUCCCGUACAGUUUCCGUUUGAUCUGGACCGAUGGCUUCGUAGCUUGGAUCAAGGAUUUUAGGCCGCGUCGCAUUGCGGUUCCGUUCAUCUCGCAUCAUCUUUCUCCAGCUCUUGCCAUCUAACUUUGAUGGGGCUCCAUCAGAUGCCUUGCACAAUGUGCUCGAAAAUAAGGUGCACAGUCAGGCAUCUUGACUCACUUAGCUGUUGCGAACCGAUGUUUCAGUAGCUCCUGCUGGCUACAUGCUAUUUGAGUAACGCACGUUCAAGGACAGAAUAAGAAAUUUCAACAUCAGCCUUUCAUAAAUGGAGAUGGCAUUAACUGCGAGGACAACCUGCUGAAAUCAGAGGAUUCAAUGAUUUCAAUCAGACGGGCAGAAUUUGCUUGCAGCUUGUGCGACACGAGAUCUUCUCCCCAUACUUUCAAAUUUGCACGAUGUAUUAGAUUCCAGAAUAGAAACUUGCUCUAUGUGGUCAUUUCUGGCACCUUUUGCUUUGAGUCCUGAGUUUCGUUGCUCCCAAUUCUUGAAGCAGACUACAUGAGGUUGGUCAGCGGACUGUAUCUUGUUGCCAGGGGCUGGCCGCUCUCAGCUUAGGUGAGGUGAAGUAAAGGUUCCUGUACGACGGCUAUCUACUCUUUAUUAAUCAUGUUCCUGUAUUCGUGUACCAUGCUAGGAUGCGAAUGACAGAUUUACGGCUAACCCACAUGGAGAUCUACCAAAUAUAGCGAGAUAUGUCUCCCGCAGUAAUUGCUGGGGAUUUUUGCUAGGAGGGCUUGGAGAUUUGUUUCUGGAAGUGUUCUUGGAGGAGGAUGCAGUUAGUCAAAAAUAGCUGCUCCUCCCUACUUCCCCCGACAGUCUGAGGCAGUCCUUUUCUCGUACAUCGGAAGGCUUCCAGGACACGUGAUUGCGAGUGCUCCUAGUUUCUGGGAUAGGGCAAUGCUCAGGACAAUUGCUCUCACGCUUCUAAUAGAUACUGGCCACUUCAAAAGACCAUUGAUCAGUGGUGGUGAUAACUUUAUUGGAUUGGUAUCGAUACCGGUUAUAAAGCUUUUGAAAGUCUGAAAAUAUCGUUUAACAAAAAAGAUAAAUAGAAACAAGAAAGCAAAGGCGGAGAGUGAAACGACAAACUUCGUCCGUCAGAGUCGAUGGCAGCGUCGGCAACGGUUGCACGAGUAUGGCAUGAGGGUCGAGGGUCAAGGGUCGGGGCCUCACGCAUGUGCGGCAAGGAUGGCACGAUCCACUUCCGUCGAUGGCAUCGGCGGCAUCGGCAAGGCUGACAUGACCCAUCGUCCGUUGAAGGUGAAGACGCACAGCCUUUCCGCCGGAUCUCUAUCUGCGCUGAAGACAACCAAGCAAACACGGAAUUAAAAGCCAAAAUCAGAGGAAAGAGAGCGACGGCUCCUCUUGGCCUGAUUUGUCGACAUCGUAUCUCAAGUUCAUCCAAAACACCACGUCAAUUCCAGCAACCGUCGUUCUCUCCUGUUCUCCUUUUUUAUGAUACUUCUUUUCCAUCUCAAGAUUUUGCUGAUUAGAUGUAAUAGAAAAAAAAGAAAAAGAAAAAGAAUUGGCAACAAAGAGUCAAGUCAAGACCUGAGCGGCUCUCCCGGGUGAGUGAGUACUGCAGGGGGGCAUUGUGUACGGCCCUGUCUAUGAAAACCUGACUCUGCAAAAUAGGUCAUGAAAGCCUGGGCUUUGCGCUUUCCGGGGUAACAACCAUAUGAAGGAAAAGGCUGCCCCUAGGGAUCCUGUGCAUGUCGGUGUUACUGUUUAACUCAUUUGGACACAAUCUUCGUCUCUGCACGACUAUAGUGGCGGGUCGCGCACGCAAGGAAAAAAUCCACGCCUUGAGUAAUGCUUCGUGUUUCCUCGCUUUUUUCGCUAGAUGGGUCGCGGUCUGGUCUACUUCCAUAAUUAGCUAGCUCUGAUUCUCUCUAAUCUUGGCCCUGAAGGUGGUGCAUGGAGCUCCUCCACUUUCUUGAGAGUGGUUCUUGGCACAGUUUCGCCAUGGAAGCCAUUCCCUGCAUUCAACAAAGAAGAAGGUUUAGAAAGCCUAGAGUCCCUGUCUACGUGUGAAGCUCUGGCACCAGAUGGAGCUGCACAAUUCUGGGGGUAUAAACGCAACGACAGGAAAAACGUCUCCAGAAUGAAGCAAUAGCGACAUCAUUUUGAGAAUAAGAAGAUGAAUAGAUUUCUAUGAGUUGCAUAAUAAUCUUUAAAUGGUCUCAAAUUAUAUUGACCAUCGGAUGAAUUUCAUGGAGAGGCAUCUAAGGCACUUACCGAGGUACAUAAUUUCAUCUCCAUUUUAUGUUCUUAUAUUGCAUCUCUUUCAUGUGGUUUGCAAUUGUAUGUGCUUUGAUUUUCCUUGAAAAGUUUAGGCAAUCUGCAUCUGCAACUGUGAUGGUAUUCAAACAAUCAUGAUAUUUCUCUCCGUCUGUGGACUCUGGUGAAACACAAGUUCAUUGGAUAGUGGACAACUUAAGUGCCCUUUGUCUAGUCAAUCACUUCUAAAAAGCUAUGUUCUUCCAUGCAAUGGAUACACCAGAUUACUUUAUUUCAAAAUUCUACGGAGUAGACAAUGAUAAAAUAAGGGUUUUCAACGAGUGAAGCUUUAGAUAAAUCGCGGAAAAUAUUUCUUGAUUGGAGAAUUAGCCUUCCUUAUCUAUCCUUUCUGGGUCAAAUUGUAUUCUUCUAAGUUCUUCAUUUCCGGUCAGACAUAGGAGAAGUACAUAAUAGAAGCACAUAUUAUUGCAGACAAUUUACUGAAGGAACACACUAGUCCACACAUAAGUUGUACAAUUGUGACACACAUGCCUAUAAUACAUGCCAAACACAAAGGAAAAAGCCUCACCAAUUUCUACCACCAUGUAUUUAUUCAGCUGCCAUCAAAUGUUCGAGAAUAUACCCAUAAUUCCGUUAGCACUGAUACGGACUGUUGUAGGCCUCCCACGUUUUGACAAAGAGAUGAAGCUCUCUGAACUCAAG
Molecule: long non-coding RNA, 3404 nt
Organism: Syzygium oleosum
Lineage: Eukaryota; Viridiplantae; Streptophyta; Magnoliopsida; Myrtales; Myrtaceae
Exons: 8
Source: RefSeq, a predicted model, not a curated record